GAUGAACGCUGACAGAAUGCUUAACACAUGCAAGUCUACUUGAAUUUGGGUUUUUAACUUAGAUUUGGGUGGCGGACGGGUGAGUAACGCGUAAAGAACUUGCCUCACAGCUAGGGACAACAUUUAGAAAUGAAUGCUAAUACCUAAUAUUAUGAUAAUAGGGCAUCCUAUAAUUAUGAAAGCUAUAUGCGCUGUGAGAGAGCUUUGCGUCCCAUUAGCUAGUUGGAGAGGUAACAGCUCACCAAGGCGAUGAUGGGUAGCCGGCCUGAGAGGGUGAUCGGCCACAAGGGGACUGAGACACGGCCCUUACUCCUACGGGAGGCAGCAGUGGGGAAUAUUGGACAAUGGACCGAGAGUCUGAUCCAGCAAUUCUGUGUGCACGAUGAAGUUUUUCGGAAUGUAAAGUGCUUUCAGUUGGGAAGAAAGAAAUGACGGUACCAACAGAAGAAGUGACGGCUAAAUACGUGCCAGCAGCCGCGGUAAUACGUAUGUCACGAGCGUUAUCCGGAUUUAUUGGGCGUAAAGCGCGUCUAGGUGGUUAUAUAAGUCUGAUGUGAAAAUGCAGGGCUCAACUCUGUAUUGCGUUGGAAACUGUAUAACUAGAGUACUGGAGAGGUAAGCGGAACUACAAGUGUAGAGGUGAAACUCGUAGAUAUUUGUAGGAAUGCCGAUGGGGAAGCCAGCUUACUGGACAGAUACUGACGCUGAAGCGCGAAAGCGUGGGUAGCAAACAGG
This 735-nucleotide ribosomal RNA is filed under the name uncultured Fusobacterium sp. RNAcentral describes it as "bacterial SSU rRNA". It matches the Rfam family "Bacterial small subunit ribosomal RNA", at positions 28 to 776 of the family's 1533-position model. The record is from RNAcentral. Lineage: Bacteria; Fusobacteriati; Fusobacteriota; Fusobacteriia; Fusobacteriales; Fusobacteriaceae.